GGUGGUGAUACAGGGUCCUGGUGAUCGCUGGAGGAUGGGCCUGACUCAUGGCGGCCAAGGCCGGCUGCUCUGAGAGAGCGCCGCAUCAUUUCUCUCAGCCGAAGCCUGAAGGCAACACAGACCCACGCAGACCGUAUGAAGACUGUUGCAGUCUUAGCCGGACAAUCUGCUGCUCCGCAGAGCGUUAUAGUCUGGCAAUGGCAGCAGACGGACGGGUGAGUCGAAAGUCAUCUGGUACAGUGGCCAAUUGGAAGAUGAAAUGCCAAACACUGAAUAGCGAUUAGUGGUCUUCCAGAGUUAAACGAUGCAGGAUAGUAAAGUCGAACUGUUGACGAACGCUUAAGACAGCAAGCUUACCCUCCUCCUCUUUGGUUUCCUUGUUACUAACAGGGAAGCACACAGAAACAGCAGCAUGAAGUAUGUUGCGGUUUCCAUCACAACGAUGUCCAAGAAGUGCACUCAGAGCAUGGCUGCCCUGAUCCAAUAGAAAGGCUUGUUCAAGAUUCACCAGCUCAUCUAUUCUAAGGAGCCUACAGUCCUGAAGCAGUGAAGAGGGGUCCGAAUCUGGGGGGGCAGUGGUGGUCUGGUUGCUCACGCUGCUUGAUGUCCCCGGAAAUUUCACUGCAACAUAUGCACCAUCCACUUUCAGCACCUAGGGCACAAAGUUAGAAUGGGAAUUUGUUAAACUGAACUUUAAUGGUGUAGAAACAUACAGACACAACCCACAGACAAGUGCUCUCAUUAGGUGCACGAUAUUAUUGUGCAUCUGGAAAGUAGUCACACCAUAGCCGUUCACUUUUUCCACACUAUAACUGUUACAGCCUUAUUCCAAAAUGGAUUUAAGCCCUACAAACACCCAUUAAUUAAUGACGAGGACAAUAUUUAGAUAUUUGUUUUUAAUAUGUGAAAAAUACAGGGAAAAAAAUAAAAUAAAAUCACAUUCACAUACUUACAGCGAUUGCUCAAUACUUGGUUGAUGCAACUAAGGCAGCAACUACAGGCGAGGCAGAGGCGCGCCUGUGGCAGGACUUUGAGGGCAUAUAGUUUCACAAGCCCCUGUCUCACCGCUCCUCUACGCUUGUUCAUGCAGAUAAAAAUAAGAAUAAAUAGCAGAAUUCCACUAAAUAGAGGUCUGGGAUCCCUAAUGAUACCUUUUUAUAUAACCAAGUCUAGUGCAGCAGUGUUUCAAACCAAGUAAACAAAAUAUUUUCACAGCAUGAGUGGUGCAGCACAAAAAGAUGCAAACAUUACAUUUAAAGAAAACUAAAAUCGAAAAAAAUAUAUAUAUUCCACCUACUCCUGUGACAAAACACAGAUCUUUAAUAGUACAUUUUUGGGGGGUUCAUGUGUGAACCAAUAGGUGCUGUUCAACCGGCUGUGGCUGUCUCAACAGAUGACAAGCAUUCUUUAAUCCUCAAGUCUUUUUCAUACCACCACUCAAACCCAAAAUGUUACAAACUAAACUAUUGCUGUUCCAUUUGGCAAUAUUGUACCUCAGAUUAAUUGUGUUGCUUUACGACCUGUAAAAAUGUCAUUAAAAUAUAUAUAUAUUUUUCAAAUUAGUUAUUUCAGAAGUGUGUAUCAAACUGGUAGCCCUUUGCAUUAACCAGUACCAAAAAAGUAGCUUUCAGUUUCAAAAAGGUUGGUGACACCUGCUCUAGGAAGAGUCCUUAUGGUUGCUAACUUCUUCCAUUUACAGAUGAUGGAGGCCCCAGUAGCUACUCACUGAGACCUUUGAAGCAGCCGAAUUUUCUGUGCCCUUAUAUGUGCAUCAACACAAUCCUGUCUCCGAGGUCGAUAGACAAUUCCUUUGACUUAGUGCUUAGUUUCUGCUCUGACCUGCACAGUCAACUUUGGGAACUUAUUUAGAAAGGUGUGUACCUUUCCAAAUCAUGCCCAAUCAACUGAAUUUACCACAGGUGGACUGCAAUUAAUAUUUAUAUAUAAAAAAAAAAAAAAAAUAAAAAAUAAAAAAAAAGCGUGACUUCUUGUGUUUUUUAUUAUUUUAUACAAUUGCAAAAGAAAGAAAAAGUUAAACCAUUAUAUUAGUAAAGCAUUAUGGGGUGCUGUGUUUAGACGUUUGAGGAAAAAAAAUAUUAAAAUCCAUUUUGGAAUAUGCUAUAACAUAAAAUGUGGAAAGAGUGAAGUGCUGUGAAUACUUUCCAGUCACUCUGUACGUGCAACGUUCAAUAGAUCACAACAUUUUAAGUACUGACCUUUCCCACAGGGACAUUUUUAACAUCCUCCACAAACACCACCUCUCGAAGAGGCCACUGCUCCUCAUUCAGUUUUUCCUCCUCCUUGGGGGCUGGGGUGGAGCGCCUUCGCUCUGCAAGUUUUACAUCAAAGUAAAUGUUAGUGCGUGCAGCAAAUUUAACCAAGACUUACAAUUAACUGAGGGAAAUUGUGCGAGUGUGAUGAUGUAAUGAUCCAAUGAUUGACAACAAAUGUUAUUUACAGUAUGUAGCAAACUGUGAGUGUGAUGAUGCAAUGAACGACUGCGAAUGUUUACAGUAUUUACAAUGUCUAUUUACAGUCUGUACGAACAAACAUGAUUUGUUUCCCCAUUAAUAAAAUGAUUUCAUGGCCAUUGAAGAAGUGUGGUAAUCCUGUGAAAAAGUGUCUGCCCCCUUCCUGAUUUUUUUUUUUUUUUUUUGCAUGUGUGUCAAGUUACAGAAAAAUGCAUCCAAACUAAUAGGGAGAAGUUUCAUCAUGCAACAAGACAAUGACCCAAAACACACUGCCAACACAACAAAGGACUUCAUCAGGGGGAAAAAGUGGAAGGUCUUAGCCUGGCCAAGUCAAUCACCGGACCUUAACCCAAUAGAGCAUGCAUUUUACAUCCUGAAGAGAAAAAAACAAGAACUGAAAGAGGUUGCAGUAAAGGCCUGGAAAACAAUUUCAAAUUAAGAAUACAAGUCUGGUGAAGUCAAUGGGUCGCAGGCUUAAUGCAGUUAUUGCAAAUAAGGGUUAUGCCACCAAAUAUUAAAUGUUAUUCACUAAGUUAAUUUAAUCAUGUCUGUUCCAGUACUUUUGCUCACUUGAAAAGUGGGUGGCUUCAAACAAAAGGUGCUUUGUCCUGAGUUGUUUAACACAUCUCGAUGUAAAUACCAUGAAAUGAAAGCUGGAAUUCUGAACUUGUGUCUCAUAUUCAUCUUUUGAUCUGAAACCCAAAUGUCUACAGUACUGAACAAAAACAAAGGAAUUGACCAUGCAGUUCCAAUACUUUUGGACAUUAUUUGUCCAAUAAAAUGAACACAUCACUUGCACACAAGA
Long non-coding RNA from Phyllopteryx taeniolatus (common seadragon), 3276 nucleotides. RefSeq lists it as uncharacterized. The transcript is spliced from 3 exons. Lineage: Eukaryota; Metazoa; Chordata; Actinopteri; Syngnathiformes; Syngnathidae. The record is from RefSeq and is a predicted model, not a curated record.